ACUGCUUCAUGACAAGAGGUUCCAUGCUGACAGCAUCUGGGGAAACCUCGCUGGGCCUCGGAGGUCCUUCCUAUGGGUGAUAUGCCACCCACCCUGGGUCGAGAGUCAGAGAAGCGCGGCCGGUCCCACUGCUGGCUUCGCCUGCCUGUUUCCCACAGCUUCCCUCUAGUCAUCCACCUACACCUGCUGCCCAGUUCCCUAGAAACCUGCCUAGUGUAAAAGGAAGCAACUCUGGAGAACAGAAUGAGAAAUCAGAAAGCAAGGCCCUGUCCUCUGAGUUCUGUCCUGGAUGGGGACUGAGGAAGUUUUAUGUGGUCCAGAGAGGCUGCAUCAGUCUCAGGCCCCUAAGCCUUGCCUGGUUCAACAGUAUUAUUUCACUCACGCUGGUCACCCCAUUGUUAGAAAGAGCAAGGAAAGGAGGAUGAGAAAGGAAGAGAGGGAGGGAGAAAAUUGUCCCCAAGAAAAGGAAACUAUUGUCUGGUGAUGGACAGAUGGUUUCCUCAAUUUAUAUAAUUUAAGAUACAGAUCAUUCCCAAUACAACUUAGAAUCUCAUUAGUCAGUACAAUUUUCUGAAGGUUCAAUCUUUCAUUUCUAUUCUCUACCCUGGCAAGAACGUUGGAGCUUACCAUCAUAAGUGACAGGAAUGAACAUUGGAGCUUACCAUCAUAAGUGACGGGAAUAGCAUUAUCUCCAAACCUGAGAUCCUUCCAAUGGGAAUUCUACAACUCCUGGGAGUUUAUGAUUCACACAUGUAGACAAUGUCUGUACCUAUACUCAGAGAUGUAGACUGGCCUCAAUAGAGUUCAUUGAGCUAAAACAAUACUAGGUAAACAAUGGAAUUUAUUUUCAAGACUGAACUCAGUUCUCAUCAGUUCAAGGUUAACCUCAACAAAAUGAAUCCAGUAAUGGAAAGAAAAUGAAAAAAAGAACAAACAAAACGAAAUGACUGCACUACGUAUUUAGGCCCAGCUGACAGAAUCUCAACACUGAAUGAUACUGAUAAAUAGGUUUCCUUGUGUAUCCAGUGUGAAGUCUUGGUUGUUAUUCGUUUUCCAACGAACAUUAAAGUCAUCUUUGGAUUCUCU
Molecule: long non-coding RNA, 1086 nt
Filed under: Homo sapiens (human)
Lineage: Eukaryota; Metazoa; Chordata; Mammalia; Primates; Hominidae
Description: long independently transcribed non-coding RNA 370, transcript variant 2 (LINC00370)
Source: RNAcentral